Molecule: transfer RNA, 86 nt
Filed under: Felis catus (domestic cat)
Lineage: Eukaryota; Metazoa; Chordata; Mammalia; Carnivora; Felidae
Rfam family: tRNA
About the family: Transfer RNA (tRNA) molecules are approximately 80 nucleotides in length. Their secondary structure includes four short double-helical elements and three loops (D, anti-codon, and T loops).
Source: Rfam by way of RNAcentral
GCCUGGGUGGCUUAAUUGGUUAAGUGCCUGACUUCAGCUCAGGUCAUGAUCUCAGGGUCCCUUGAGUUCAAAUCCUACCUGGGGCU